This 603-nucleotide ribosomal RNA is filed under the name uncultured fungus. RNAcentral describes it as "eukaryotic LSU rRNA". It matches the Rfam family "Eukaryotic large subunit ribosomal RNA", at positions 23 to 641 of the family's 3401-position model. Lineage: Eukaryota; Fungi. The record is from RNAcentral.
ACCCGCUGAACUUAAGCAUAUCAAUAAGCGGAGGAAAAGAAACUAACAAGGAUUCCCCUAGUAACUGCGAGUGAAGCGGGAAAAGCUCAAAUUUGAAAUCUGGCGUCUUUGGCGUCCGAGUUGUAAUUUGCAGAGGGCGCUUUGGCAUUGGCAGCGGUCCAAGUUCCUUGGAACAGGACGUCACAGAGGGUGAGAAUCCCGUACGUGGUCGCUAGCCUUUACCGUGUAAAGCCCCUUCGACGAGUCGAGUUGUUUGGGAAUGCAGCUCUAAAUGGGAGGUAAAUUUCUUCUAAAGCUAAAUACUGGCCAGAGACCGAUAGCGCACAAGUAGAGUGAUCGAAAGAUGAAAAGCACUUUGGAAAGAGAGUUAAAAAGCACGUGAAAUUGUUGAAAGGGAAGCGCUUGCAGCCAGACUUGCCUGUAGUUGCUCAUCCGGGUUUUUACCCGGUGCACUCUUCUAUAGGCAGGCCAGCAUCAGUUUGGGCGGUUGGAUAAAGGUCUCUGUCAUGUACCUCUCUUCGGGGAGAACUUAUAGGGGAGACGACAUGCAACCAGCCCGGACUGAGGUCCGCGCAUCUGCUAGGAUGCUGGCGUAAUGGCUGU